Molecule: transfer RNA, 77 nt
Filed under: Bacteroidota bacterium
Lineage: Bacteria; Pseudomonadati; Bacteroidota
Also listed under: 1 other name
Description: Bacteroidetes bacterium (sediment metagenome) tRNA-Cys
Rfam family: tRNA
About the family: Transfer RNA (tRNA) molecules are approximately 80 nucleotides in length. Their secondary structure includes four short double-helical elements and three loops (D, anti-codon, and T loops). Further hydrogen bonds mediate the characteristic L-shaped molecular structure. tRNAs have two regions of fundamental functional importance: the anti-codon, which is responsible for specific mRNA codon recognition, and the 3' end, to which the tRNAs corresponding amino acid is attached (by aminoacyl-tRNA synthetases). tRNAs cope with the degeneracy of the genetic code in two manners: having more than one tRNA (with a specific anti-codon) for a particular amino acid; and 'wobble' base-pairing, i.e. permitting non-standard base-pairing at the 3rd anti-codon position.
Source: RNAcentral
GGCGACGUACCCAAGUGGCUUAAGGGGACGCUCUGCAAAAGCGUUAUUCAUCGGUUCGAAUCCGAUCGUCGCCUCCA